Molecule: ribosomal RNA, 253 nt
Filed under: uncultured bacterium
Lineage: Bacteria
Description: partial 16S ribosomal RNA
Rfam family: Bacterial small subunit ribosomal RNA
Source: RNAcentral
UACGAAGGGGGCUAGCGUUGCUCGGAAUCACUGGGCGUAAAGGGCGCGUAGGCGGCCAUUCAAGUCGGGGGUGAAAGCCCAGGGCUCAACCCUGGAAUUGCCUUCGAUACUGUUUGGCUAGAGACCGGAAGAGGUAAGUGGAACUGCGAGUGUAGAGGUGAAAUUCGUAGAUAUUCGCAAGAACACCAGUGGCGAAGGCGGCUUACUGGUCCGGUUCUGACGCUGAGGCGCGAAGGCGUGGGGAGCGAACGGG